This is a long non-coding RNA of Bradysia coprophila, 509 nucleotides long. The record is from RefSeq and is a predicted model, not a curated record. Lineage: Eukaryota; Metazoa; Arthropoda; Insecta; Diptera; Sciaridae.
AGAAAAUAUUAAUUCGUUGACAUUCAAUUCAGAAACAGAAAAGGCAAGAUUCUUAGCAUCAACAGUCCAUGAAUCAAGCGCCUGGCUAACAGCUUUGCCGUCAAAAUUCAUCGGAACAUUAUUGGACAAUAACACGUUCAGAAUUUCAAUUGCUUUACGUAUUGGAGCUAAGAUUUGUAAACGUCAUAAAUGCAGAUGUGGAGAAAUCGUCAGUGAAGAUGGUUCUCAUGGACUUAAUCACUCCAGUCGGCAAAUGUACCAUCUAUGCGAGAACCUCCUGGGAUGUUCAGAGAUGAUAGAAAAAGAGUAGACGGAGUGACUUUGAUACCAUGGCGUAACGGUCAAUCAAUGGUUUGGGACGCAACGUGCUCAGAUACUCUGGCCCCAUCGUAUCUACGUUUGUCAAGCAAAUCGCCCGGUAGAGUUGCAAAUAAGGCAGCAAAUAUUAAAUUGGGGAAAUAUAAGAAAUUGAUAGAAGAUAAUUAUAUAAUCAUUCCAUUUGCAAUAGA